Molecule: ribosomal RNA, 274 nt
Filed under: uncultured bacterium
Lineage: Bacteria
Description: partial 16S ribosomal RNA
Rfam family: Bacterial small subunit ribosomal RNA
Source: RNAcentral
AUACAGAGGGUGCGAGCGUUAAUCGGAAUUACUGGGCGUAAAGCGCGCGUAGGCGGCUACUUAAGUCAGAUGUGAAAUCCCCGGGUUCAACCUGGGAACUGCAUCUGAUACUGGGUAGCUAGAGUUUAGGAGAGGGAAGUAGAAUUUCAGGUGUAGCGGUGAAAUGCAUAGAGAUCUGAAGGAAUACCAGUGGCGAAGGCGGCUUCCUGGCCUAAAACUGACGCUGAGGUGCGAAAGCGUGGGUAGCAAACGGGAUUAGAAACCCCUGUAGUCC